This 253-nucleotide ribosomal RNA is filed under the name uncultured bacterium. Its description in RNAcentral is "partial 16S ribosomal RNA". It matches the Rfam family "Bacterial small subunit ribosomal RNA", at positions 524 to 776 of the family's 1533-position model. The record is from RNAcentral.
UACGUAGGUGGCAAGCGUUGUCCGGAUUUACUGGGCGUAAAGGGCGUGCAGGCGGUUUGUUAAGUGCAGGGUGAAAGCUCCCGGCUCAACUGGGAGAGGUCCUUGCAUACUGGCGAACUCGAGGGAGGCAGAGGAAAGUGGAAUUCCCGGUGUAGUGGUGAUAUGCGUAGAUAUCGGGAGGAACACCUGUGGCGAAGGCGGCUGUCUGGGCCUUACCUGACGCUGAGACGCGAAAGCGUGGGGAGCGAACCGG